GGGAUUGUGAUAGGAUGUCCACUUAACUUGGAGUCCGAACUCUCACUUUCUAACCCUGUGCAUUUGUUUGGGAUAGUAGCCUCUCGGGGUGAACUCCUAUUCACUUAUAAACACAAAGUCUAUGAAUGUAUUUAAUUUAUAACAAAAUAAAACUUUCAACAACGGAUCUCUUGGCUCUCGCAUCGAUGAAGAACGCAGCGAAAUGCGAUAAGUAAUGUGAAUUGCAGAAUUCAGUGAAUCAUCGAAUCUUUGAACGCACCUUGCGCUCCAUGGUAUUCCGUGGAGCAUGCCUGUUUGAGUGUCAUGAAUACUUCAACCCUCCUCUUUUCUAGUGAAAGAGAAGGUGCUUGGUUUCUGAGCGUUUUGCUGGCCUCACGGUCGAGCUCGCUCGUAAUGCAUUAGCAUCCGCAAUCGAACUUCGGAUUGACUUGGCGUAAUAGACUAUUCGCUGAGGAAUUCUAAUCUUCGGAUUAGAGCCGGGUUAGGUUAAAGGAAGCUUCUAAUCCUAAUGUCUAUAUUUUAAGAUUAGAUCUCAAAUCAGGUAGGACUACCCGCUGAACUUAAGCAUAUCAAG
RNAcentral lists this ribosomal RNA (574 nucleotides) under Rhodotorula sphaerocarpa. RNAcentral describes it as "eukaryotic LSU rRNA". The stretch from base 151 to 304 matches the Rfam family "5.8S ribosomal RNA". The record is from RNAcentral. Lineage: Eukaryota; Fungi; Basidiomycota; Microbotryomycetes; Sporidiobolales; Sporidiobolaceae.